AUAAGGCCACAUCCGCUGUCUGCUGGCCUUACCCUAUGGCUACAUGUCUCAAUGGUUCAGAUAACCAUCCCUUCCUUUCCCUUUCAGGCCAAGGGACAUAACUGGCUGCCCACUGGUCAGCCUCCUGGGGCAGGCACAGAAGGGUGGAGGGAAGACCUCAUUAAAUAAAGACAUCCAGCACACCAAAACAGGCAGAAAGCAGACAUGAUAACGAGAUUGCCACCUAUUUACCUUCUUGUAACCAUAAGAAUGAGGGAAGCUUCAUUCCGACGGAGUUCGACCAAAAUAGAGAAGAAGUUGUAAGGGUCUAGAAUUCAGUGUAGAAGUGUAUGCAGGAGACACCAAUCUGGAUAUUAGCACAUAAACAGUAUUUAAAACUACAAGACUGUAUGGGGUUACCAAAAAAGUGAGAAAAGCAGAAUCCUGGACCACACCGCAGUUCAGAGUUUGGAAAAAUGAGGAAGAGCCAGUAAAGGAAAACUGAGGAUUGGUCAACGAGGUAGAAAGAAAAACCUCUGAUGGAAUUGCAACAUGGGCAGAAACCAGAGGUAGGAAGGCAGGCAACCCUUGCAUAAAAAUAUCCACUCACCAACUGUUCACCAACUGUUCUUCCUCUUGCUGGCAUACCUUAUGCAGCAUCCUCAGAUGCCAGAGCGCGUUUCUGCUGCAGCCUCCACGAUGCCUGGGCUGAUAGCAAUCAGGUCCUGCUAUGCUUCUUUCAGGAAGAGCUGACCCCUGGAAUCUGGGCUAGACUUGCACUUGUUUUGGCCAUUGGAAUAUCAAGCUGACUUUUUGUGGGCUCUGGAGACUAGGACCUAAAAGGAGGAAUGUUGCCCCCUCAUCAUUAUGUAAAGAAGCUGGCGCAACCUGCUGGAGGAGAAUAUGCCACCUGGGGAAGAACUGAGGCACCCAGCCAACAUCCAGCACCCACCACUAGACAUGAAAACACUGGUCGGUUACUAAUGGAGAAGAAGAAAAAGCAGCAAAGACAACGAGUAUACUUGGGAUGCGAUCGCAUGCCUGGAGCAUCUGGAAGGAAGACAUUAAGAUGUCAAACUUGGGGCUGCUAAAUGAACAUCUGUAGCCCAAACAUGGGGCACCAGGGCUGGGAGGCUCAGAGAAGUAAUUGCCACAAAAAAGAUGCACCAGGACAUUGAUUUCUUCUGCCUGUUUGCUUGAUUUCCACUUUGAGCUUACUCAAUUGGCUAUUCCUCUGUUUUGCCACC
This 1226-nucleotide long non-coding RNA is filed under the name Homo sapiens (human). RNAcentral's name for it is "HSALNT0292486". Lineage: Eukaryota; Metazoa; Chordata; Mammalia; Primates; Hominidae. The record is from RNAcentral.